This 136-nucleotide ribosomal RNA is filed under the name Venturia viennotii. Its description in RNAcentral is "partial 18S ribosomal RNA". The record is from RNAcentral. Lineage: Eukaryota; Fungi; Ascomycota; Dothideomycetes; Venturiales; Venturiaceae.
GCCAACCCCCGCCGGGACGGGGAGAGGUCCACAGACUAAGUGGAAGUGGGCGGUCCGCCGCUUAAGAUAUAGUCGGGGCCCACGGGAGACCGUGGGCGGCCAACCGUUCCGUAGGUGAACCUGCGGAAGGAUCAUU